CGCGUGAGUAACCUGCCUUGGAGUGGGGAAUAACAGCUGGAAACAGCUGCUAAUACCGCAUAAUGCAGUUGGGUCGCAUGGCUCUGACUGCCAAAGAUUUAUCGCUCUGAGAUGGACUCGCGUCUGAUUAGCUAGUUGGCGGGGUAACGGCCCACCAAGGCGACGAUCAGUAGCCGGACUGAGAGGUUGGCCGGCCACAUUGGGACUGAGACACGGCCCAGACUCCUACGGGAGGCAGCAGUGGGGAAUAUUGGGCAAUGGGCGCAAGCCUGACCCAGCAACGCCGCGUGAAGGAAGAAGGCUUUCGGGUUGUAAACUUCUUUUCUCAGGGACGAAGAAAGUGACGGUACCUGAGGAAUAAGCCACGGCUAACUACGUGCCAGCAGCCGCGGUAAUACGUAGGUGGCAAGCGUUAUCCGGAUUUACUGGGUGUAAAGGGCGUGUACGCGGGAAAGCAAGUCAGAUGUGAAAACCACGGGCUCAACCUGUGGCCUGCAUUUGAAACUGUUUUUCUUGAGUACUGGA
This 525-nucleotide ribosomal RNA is filed under the name uncultured bacterium. RNAcentral's name for it is "bacterial SSU rRNA". It matches the Rfam family "Bacterial small subunit ribosomal RNA", at positions 114 to 653 of the family's 1533-position model. The record is from RNAcentral.